This 1372-nucleotide ribosomal RNA is filed under the name uncultured bacterium. RNAcentral describes it as "bacterial SSU rRNA". It matches the Rfam family "Bacterial small subunit ribosomal RNA", at positions 28 to 1381 of the family's 1533-position model. The record is from RNAcentral.
GAUGAACGCUGGCGGCGUGCCUAAUACAUGCAAGUCGAGCGAACGGACGAGAAGCUUGCUUCUCUGAUGUUAGCGGCGGACGGGUGAGUAACACGUGGAUAACCUACCUAUAAGACUGGGAUAACUUCGGGAAACCGGAGCUAAUACCGGAUAAUAUUUUGAACCGCAUGGUUCAAAAGUGAAAGACGGUCUUGCUGUCACUUAUAGAUGGAUCCGCGCUGCAUUAGCUAGUUGGUAAGGUAACGGCUUACCAAGGCAACGAUGCAUAGCCGACCGGAGAGGGUGAUCGGCCACACUGGAACUGAGACACGGUCCAGACUCCUACGGGAGGCAGCAGUAGGGAAUCUUCCGCAAUGGGCGAAAGCCUGACGGAGCAACGCCGCGUGAGUGAUGAAGGUCUUCGGAUCGUAAAACUCUGUUAUUAGGGAAGAACAUAUGUGUAAGUAACUGUGCACAUCUUGACGGUACCUAAUCAGAAAGCCACGGCUAACUACGUGCCAGCAGCCGCGGUAAUACGUAGGUGGCAAGCGUUAUCCGGAAUUAUUGGGCGUAAAGCGCGCGUAGGCGGUUUUUUAAGUCUGAUGUGAAAGCCCACGGCUCAACCGUGGAGGGUCAUUGGAAACUGGAAAACUUGAGUGCAGAAGAGGAAAGUGGAAUUCCAUGUGUAGCGGUGAAAUGCGCAGAGAUAUGGAGGAACACCAGUGGCGAAGGCGACUUUCUGGUCUGUAACUGACGCUGAUGUGCGAAAGCGUGGGGAUCAAACAGGAUUAGAUACCCUGGUAGUCCACGCCGUAAACGAUGAGUGCUAAGUGUUAGGGGGUUUCCGCCCCUUAGUGCUGCAGCUAACGCAUUAAGCACUCCGCCUGGGGAGUACGACCGCAAGGUUGAAACUCAAAGGAAUUGACGGGGACCCGCACAAGCGGUGGAGCAUGUGGUUUAAUUCGAAGCAACGCGAAGAACCUUACCAAAUCUUGACAUCCUUUGACAACUCUAGAGAUAGAGCCUUCCCCUUCGGGGGACAAAGUGACAGGUGGUGCAUGGUUGUCGUCAGCUCGUGUCGUGAGAUGUUGGGUUAAGUCCCGCAACGAGCGCAACCCUUAAGCUUAGUUGCCAUCAUUAAGUUGGGCACUCUAAGUUGACUGCCGGUGACAAACCGGAGGAAGGUGGGGAUGACGUCAAAUCAUCAUGCCCCUUAUGAUUUGGGCUACACACGUGCUACAAUGGACAAUACAAAGGGCAGCGAAACCGCGAGGUCAAGCAAAUCCCAUAAAGUUGUUCUCAGUUCGGAUUGUAGUCUGCAACUCGACUACAUGAAGCUGGAAUCGCUAGUAAUCGUAGAUCAGCAUGCUACGGUGAAUACGUUCCCGGGUCU